Molecule: ribosomal RNA, 699 nt
Filed under: uncultured bacterium
Lineage: Bacteria
Description: partial 16S ribosomal RNA
Source: RNAcentral
UACGGCUACCUUGUUACGACUUCACCCCAGUCGCUGACCUUACCGUGGCCUGCUGCCUCCUAAGUUAGCACACAGUCUUCGGGUAAAACCAACUCCCAUGGUGUGACGGGCGGUGUGUACAAGGCCCGGGAACGUAUUCACCGUGGCAUGCUGAUCCACGAUUACUAGCGAUUCCAACUUCAUGCUCUCGAGUUGCAGAGAACAAUCCGAACUGAGACGGCUUUUAGAGAUUAGCUCCCCAUUGCUGAGUGGCUGCUCACUGUCACCGCCAUUGUAGCACGUGUGUAGCCCAGCCCGUAAGGGCCAUGAUGAUUUGACGUCAUCCCCACCUUCCUCCGGCUUAUCACCGGCAGUCCCUCUAGAGUGCCCAACUUAAUGCUGGCAACUAAAGGCGAGGGUUGCGCUCGUUGCGGGACUUAACCCAACAUCUCACGACACGAGCUGACGACAACCAUGCAGCACCUGUCACCGGUCCAGCCGAACUGAAGGAAACCAUCUCUGGUAACCGCGACCGGGAUGUCAAAAGCUGGUAAGGUUCUUCGCGUUGCCUCGAAUUAAACCACAUGCUCCACCGCUUGUGCGGGCCCCCGUCAAUUCCUUUGAGUUUUAGUCUUGCGACCGUAGUCCCCAGGCGGGGUGCUUAACGCGUUAGCUGCGUCACCAAACAGCAAGCUGCCUGACAACUAGCACCCAUCGUUU